Molecule: ribosomal RNA, 431 nt
Filed under: uncultured bacterium
Lineage: Bacteria
Description: partial 16S ribosomal RNA
Rfam family: Bacterial small subunit ribosomal RNA
Source: RNAcentral
AACGAACGCUGGCGGCAUGCCUAACACAUGCAAGUCGAACGAGACCUUCGGGUCUAGUGGCGCACGGGUGCGUAACGCGUGGGAACCUGCCCUUAGGUUCGGAAUAACUCCCCGAAAGGGGUGCUAAUACCGGAUAAUGUCUUCGGACCAAAGAUUUAUCGCCUUUGGAUGGGCCCGCGUUGGAUUAGCUAGUUGGUAGGGUAAAAGCCUACCAAGGCGACGAUCCAUAGCUGGUCUGAGAGGAUGAUCAGCCACACUGGGACUGAGACACGGCCCAGACUCCUACGGGGGGCAGCAGUGGGGAAUAUUGGACAAUGGGCGAAAGCCUGAUCCAGCAAUGCCGCGUGAGUGAUGAAGGCCUGAGGGUUGUAAAGCUCUUUUACCCGGGAUGAUAAUGACAGUACCGGGAGAAUAAGCUCCGGCUAACUCCG